GAAACAGCUGAGACUAAUAGGGAGUGGCAGGAUUGUGCCACAGCUGAAAGCAACUUACUACAAAUUUUUAAAAAGAAAAACCAACGAGGAAAGGGAAGGUGAGGCGGUGGAUGUGCUGAACUGGUGCCUGGUUGCGAUAAUGGACUGGAUGAAGGCCAAUAGGAUGAAGCUUAAUCCAGAUGGGACCGAGAUGCUGCUGAAGCUUUUUGUUGGCUUCUGCUGGGCCUGUUGAUGGUUAUUGAAAUGGUUUUAUUGAAAUGUAUUGUUUUGGUUAUAUGUCUAGGGAUGGUGGGAGUUGUAGUUCAGCAACAUAUAGAGGGCCAGUGGUUUCACACAUCUGUUUUAUGUUAUGCCUUUUUUGUUGCUUAACCUCUUUGUAAGUCACUGAGAGAUUAUUAUUUUUUUGCAGUGAGCAAUGGAAAAGUCCAACAAUAGAAAGUAUCAGUUAAAUGUAAAAUGACCUUAGUCAAUUUCCCAUUUCACAUCCUUGUGAAGACACUAUAGUUGCAUACACACCACACAUUUAAAGUACAUAGCUCCCCCCACCAAGAAUCCUGGGAACUGUAGUUUACCCUUCACAAGACUACAAUUCCCAGUGCCCUUUUCCAUGGACCAUGGUCUCCACUUCCUUGAGGAAUGACUUCUAGGGGGUGACCCAGAGGUCCUGAGCAAUGAGAUUUUUCUGCUAUGUUCCAGAUCUCCUGAUCCUUCCCCUAUUAAAAACAACAACUAAUGCCCCCCACCCUUUUUGUUUCAUUCAGUCUUGCAACAAACCUAUUCCAUUGAAUGAAAGGUGGAGUGUGAAUGUUUAAAUACAGAAAAUAAAUAUUAGCUAGGGUUCCGUUAUUAUUUUUAUUUUGCAAAAGGAGAACUGAGGUUCAGAGAUCAUGGCCAAUUAGCAGCUGGGCAGGGUGGAAUCAUGCAAUUCCCCCACUACAAGACUAUUUUAGAUACCCUUCCUGUUGGGAAGCUGUACUCUGGAAUACUGCUUGACGAAUAUUUCUUGGGAAGUUCUAGCAAUGUAUUGGCUCCCCGGAACAAUGAAACACAUGCUUCAGUUUAAGCUAAAGAGAACCCCCCUCGUUGUAUCAACUAGGUUACUUAGUAAAAAGCAUGUGCUUACAUACUUCUCUAGGCCUGGGGUGGGGUGAGAACUGUUUCGUGCUGAGCCCCAUUGAGGUGGCCACACCCGUGACCCAUCCUCGCUUAGCACCGCUUUGUGGAAAAGUCCCUUGCCUUUGCACACUGCAGAAAGAUGUUACGAAAUCCUGGCCCUGACAGAGAGCAGAUGCAUUAUUGGGAAGCCCUCGGGUCACAAGAGGGCUAAUAGUCACAUUCCUGGCUGCAAUGGCAAAAGAUUUACACCCCAUGCUCGCUUGCCUCACCCUGCACCAGGCUGAGGGCUCCCGGCCUAACCAGCCCCCUUGGCUUUAAUUGUUGUGUUAAUGGCCCUUUUAUUUGAAGCAGAUCCCCUGGCUUACAGAGGAGAAUGUCAUUAUGUUGUAUUUUAGAUGUAUUUACAUUCAACUUGCCACAGGGAUAACAUUCUAAUUAUUUUCUAUAGCUGACAGCACUAGCGUCUGCUGGUAUUAUAGACCCCCUUAGACCUGAUUACAUGGUCUGUUUUUCUUCAAAUCACCCACAAAUGACACUGUGGAGCAGGUUUAUUAUCGACUGGCGUACCUUUGCUUAACACGGCCCGCUCCUGAAACAAAUGCACAGAGAAGGUAAUGCAUGUUUGGAGCUUGCGUCUUUGUCUUCAGGAAGGCAGAGGGGCUUAGAAAGGUUAAGCCCACAGUUAACCUCCUCUUCUUCUUAAACCUUUAGCACAUACCCCUAAAGAGAUGGAGGCACCACUGCAUGGAAUAAGACCGGUCUUGCGUAGCACACUUCCUAUAUCAACGGUAUCCCACGGCAAUUGACAAGGAGGGCCGUGAAGCCCAGAGAUGCUGGUUAAACAGCUAAAACCAGGAAUCUAUACGGCAAUUGUCAGCCUCAUCUAUGAGUACAGUUGACUGUCUGUCUACCCACCCAGUCUUAAUUAUUAUUAAUUUUAUAUGUGUGUGUGAAUGGUUUGCAACUUUGAAACUUGCCAGCAAAACAUCUAUAGGGCUAUCUAAGAAUGACAGAUUAUGAAAGCCAAUCCUUUCCUAAUUUGCUCAAGAUUAAUGUUUAGAAUUUCCAUUGAUUUUGACUAACCCCUGCUCCUCUCUUCUUGCAUUUGUGCUGAAACGUGGUUUAGACAUGGAGUGCAGAAAUCAAGAGGGGAAAGUCUUACAUAUCUGCAGGGCAUUUGUGGAUUUCAUGUUCAGUCAGUUAAAUUGUGGUCUCUUCGCCUCACUAAUCCUAUGCAAGGCCCUGUUGUGCAUUCUUUCAACAAAGAAUUGUUGAACCCCGGUCACUUGAAACCCCAGAUUGCCUUUGAUCAUAAAAUAAGUUGACAAGCGGUCAUGGGGUGGUGGGAGUUUUGUGUGUGUUUGUGGGGAUUUGAAUUCUUCUGUAUUUGAAAUGUUUUGUCUGUGAAAAUGUUUUAUACGUUUUUAUUCUCAAUGUUAUUGUUGUUAAAUCA
This is a long non-coding RNA of Podarcis raffonei (Aeolian wall lizard), 2569 nucleotides long. RefSeq lists it as uncharacterized. The record is from RefSeq and is a predicted model, not a curated record. NCBI's taxonomy places the organism in Eukaryota, Metazoa, Chordata, Lepidosauria, Squamata, Lacertidae. The transcript is spliced from 3 exons.